CCCUCGGGUUGUAAAGCACUUUCAGCGAGGAAGAACGCCUAGCGGUUAAUACCCGGUAGGAAAGACAUCACUCGCAGAAGAAGCACCGGCUAACUCCGUGCCAGCAGCCGCGGUAAUACGGAGGGUGCAAGCGUUAAUCGGAAUUACUGGGCGUAAAGCGCGCGUAGGUGGCUUGAUAAGCCGGUUGUGAAAGCCCCGGGCUCAACCUGGGAACGGCAUCCGGAACUGUCAAGCUAGAGUGCAGGAGAGGAAGGUAGAAUUCCCGGUGUAGCGGUGAAAUGCGUAGAGAUCGGGAGGAAUACCAGUGGCGAAGGCGGCCUUCUGGACUGACACUGACACUGAGGUGCGAAAGCGUGGGUAACAAACAGGAUUAGAUACCCUGGUAGUCCACGCCGUAAACGAUGUCGACCAGCCGUUGGGUGCCUAGCGCACUUUGUGGCGAAGUUAACGCGAUAAGUCGACCGCCUGGGGAGUACGGCCGCAAGGUUAAAACUCAAAUGAAUUGACGGGGGCCCGCACAAGCGGUGGAGCAUGUGGUUUAAUUCGAUGCAACGCGAAGAACCUUACCUACUCUUGACAUCCUGCAAAUUUGGUAGAGAUACCUUAGUGCCUUCGGGAACGCAGAGACAGGUGCUGCAUGGCUGUCGUCAGCUCGUGUUGUGAAAUGUUGGGUUAAGUCCCGUAACGAGCGCAACCCUUGUCCUUAUUUGCCAGCGCGUAAUGGCGGGAACUCUAAGGAGACUGCCGGUGACAAACCGGAGGAAGGUGGGGACGACGUCAAGUCAUCAUGGCCCUUACGAGUAGGGCUACACACGUGCUACAAUGGUCGGUACAAAGGGUUGCCAACUCGCGAGAGUGAGCCAAUCCCAUAAAGCCGAUCUCAGUCCGGAUCGGAGUCUGCAACUCGACUCCGUGAAGUCGGAAUCGCUAGUAAUCGUGGAUCAAAAUGCCACGGUGAAUACGUUCCCGGGCCUUGUACA
RNAcentral lists this ribosomal RNA (980 nucleotides) under Vreelandella aquamarina. RNAcentral's name for it is "bacterial SSU rRNA". It matches the Rfam family "Bacterial small subunit ribosomal RNA", at positions 415 to 1387 of the family's 1533-position model. Lineage: Bacteria; Pseudomonadati; Pseudomonadota; Gammaproteobacteria; Oceanospirillales; Halomonadaceae. The record is from RNAcentral.